Papaver somniferum (opium poppy) is the source of this 1877-nucleotide long non-coding RNA. RefSeq lists it as uncharacterized. The record is from RefSeq and is a predicted model, not a curated record. NCBI's taxonomy places the organism in Eukaryota, Viridiplantae, Streptophyta, Magnoliopsida, Ranunculales, Papaveraceae. The transcript is spliced from 12 exons.
CUCUCCCUCUCUUCUUUUCUCUUUUGCCAAUCAAAGCUUCUUCCAUAUGGAUCUGUAGAGUUCUGAUGAGUGUUCUUGAUAUUUGCUUGUCCCUGUUCAAAGAGAGAUGGGGAGAAUAAGAAAUUAAGGUUUCAGUGAUUGAUGGAUUUCAAAAAAUUAGGGUUUCAAUGAAGUAGUGAAAACGAAGGGGAAAAUUAGCUGAAGUCUUGAGUAUAGAUAAAUGAAAGCGAGAAAAGGAUGAUUUAGAUCUUCAUCUUUCUAGUUAGUCUGGAUCGUGUUUUAUGUAAACCCUAAUUUCAAGGAUGAGCUGUUGCUGCUGAGUGGUUGAAAUGGGUCGAUAUAAUACAGAACAAACAAAUUUCAGUAAUCUAAUAAAACCAACUAAAUUCCCCCAAUUUUUUUUAGGGUAUAAGGUUCGGCAGUAUGGGGAAGGGGAAGAUAUCACCUAAAUUUGCAGUCAUGAAGAGAUUAAUAAGCUCUAAAAUGAUCAAAAAUUUUUUGAAUUUAGGACAAAAGAGGAUAUUCUAAACCUUAGAAAGAAUGAUCUUCAGAAGGAAAAAUUACCCAAAAACGUGCCUCAAGUAUAAUCAGCUCUGUUCUUUAAACAUAGUAGUGCAUUGGGUCCUCCUGAUAGGGUUUUGGUUGAUACCAAUUUUGUCAAUUUCUCCUUUUUGAAAAAGUUGGAUUUGGAAAAGGCAAUGACAGAUUGCUUAUAUGCAAAAUGUGAGUCUUCUUCUUUUGCUCGAUAUACUUGAAUGGUACUCUGUGAUAUUUAUUGUGUCUGACUGGUUUGAUAUGCUUGUUUGUUUUACAUCGACUCAUUUGUGAUGGGAUGAAUUGGUGAUGGUUAUCGACAAAAAUUACAAGGAUGAGUUGUUGCUGCAGAGUGGUUGAAAUUGAUUUUGGUGAUGUUCUGCUGAUGGGUUUGCUUGUAGAGGCGUGUAUUCCUGCGAUUAGUCAAUAAUUACUUCAGACUUGGACACAGAACCAUGGUUCGCAAGAUUAGAAGAACAUGGAAGUUGUUGAAUCUGAAACUGGUGGUUACAUAGGGGGACCAUGGUCAAAGGCUUAUCUUGUGAGGAUGACGAAGAGUGAGCAAGUCGUAGAGUGUACAGAGGCCACUUUCAUUCUCAAACAUGUAGUGGCUGCACACCUGUGUUUGCUUCGGGUGUGAUUUGUGCCGGUUUUCAGACUGCAAUUGUCGGACUUGCACUGAUUUCACAACGAAUGCUAAACCUUAAAUCUUCAGAGUUAACUGUUUCCAGGACAAGGAUUUGUUAGUUUGGUUCUAUAUUACUUAUUGUAAUCUAUUUCCCUUUGUCUCAGCGAAAGCUACAGAAAUAGGAGGCGAGAGAUACGAGCAGCUUGAGUUCCCGAAGAAAGUUUCUCAACACUACAGAAAGAGUUGGUUAUGGAGUUGUGCUCAGACCUUGUUGACUGGAAAUUGGGCGACAACCUCCAACUCAGGAAUUGAUUGCUAAGGAUUUGCAUGGAACUUAGUGGCGAUUCCGUUAUAUAUUUCGGAUUACAGAAGAAGCUCUAUAUACAUAGUUGUGGCACGCUUGUGCUGGUCCUCUUGUGGCUCUACCACAUGAAGGCUAGAUUCUUUGUGCAGGAACUACAAGCGGCCUGGUUAUUAUCCUUAUGAAUAAGUCAGGGAUUACGGAGAACUUUAUGAAGAAUGCCUGGUAACUAUCUGCAAGUUUUGAGUAAGUUGUAUGUACUUUUUGAGCUGAACUUAUACUGACCUAAGUGAGAAGGAACUGAACUUAGGAAGUCUCUAUGUAUUCCCUCGGAAUUUGAUAACAAAAAAAAAAAAAUUGUACUUAGAAGAAUUGAUGUUCUUUUUUGAUAUGAAUUGAUUGAUUGAAUUUGAA